Molecule: ribosomal RNA, 292 nt
Filed under: uncultured bacterium
Lineage: Bacteria
Description: partial 16S ribosomal RNA
Rfam family: Bacterial small subunit ribosomal RNA
Source: RNAcentral
GUGUCAGCAGCCGCGGUAAUACAGAGGGUGCAAGCGUUAAUCGGAUUUACUGGGCGUAAAGCGCGCGUAGGCGGCUAAUUAAGUCAAAUGUGAAAUCCCCGAGCUUAACUUGGGAAUUGCAUUCGAUACUGGUUAGCUAGAGUGUGGGAGAGGAUGGUAGAAUUCCAGGUGUAGCGGUGAAAUGCGUAGAGAUCUGGAGGAAUACCGAUGGCGAAGGCAGCCAUCUGGCCUAACACUGACGCUGAGGUGCGAAAGCAUGGGGAGCAAACAGGAUUAGAAACCCCCGUAGUCC